Molecule: long non-coding RNA, 1774 nt
Filed under: Setaria italica (foxtail millet)
Lineage: Eukaryota; Viridiplantae; Streptophyta; Magnoliopsida; Poales; Poaceae
Description: long non-coding RNA (SITA_LNC003124)
Source: RNAcentral
AUAGAGUGGCAUGUGAGACAUAGUUGAAGAGAUGACAAGGUUGCCAUGUAGUGUAGUGGUGUCAUGGCAGGGUAGCCACAUAAAGAGUGUAAGAGUGAGUUUUGUAUAGAUUUGGGUUUCCUUAUAGAGAGUUGGUCUCCCGUAUUGGUGUCGGUGAAGGUCUCCUCAAAGUAGUGUAGGUAUAAGGUCCACAGAAGAAGUGGUGUCACACCACUUUGGUGCUACUUCUAGAGAGUUGGUGUCACACCAGUUCUAGGGAGCUAGUGUCAAGGUUUGGGUGCUGAUUUCUCAACAUAACUAAAUAUGUCCUUCUGAUAUUAUGUUGCAAACUUAGUUGCACCAUCUAUUUCCCAGUUAGGACAAGGAUUGUAGUAUCUUUUGGUUAAAAAAAUCGUUUAAAAAAUGAUUGCGGUAUCUUUCAUAUUCUUUUCCUGAAUUAUUUGCCGAUGAUUCAUUUGUACAAAUGGAGUCCUCUAAAUUGUCUUAAGCUAUUUCUAGUUUGAUUUUAGGAAAACCGUAGCCAUAAAGAAAGAAACAAACAUUUUACAUGAAUGAAACAAGAGAUAAAUUUAUCUGUAUUCACCAAACAUCCCUCUCACUGAUGGUAAGGGGAGUGAUGUGUCCUGUCAACCACAUAGUUUUCAGAGAUUAUACUUUCCCUUGGUGACCGUCAUUGUUGAUCACGUGGGUUUCUUUUCUCUCUAUCACUCAAAUUUUGUAAGUGCCCCACUAAUUAAAAGGAAGUAAAAAAAGAGGGAAAGAAUUGAUGUAUCAACAUGUGCUUCUCAAUAAAAAAUGGUGAUGAAAAUGAGUUUUGUCCUCUUAACUAGGAACCUUCAAUUAAAUGCAUAUGAUUAUUUAAUUAUGCAGCAUGAUUGACAAUGUCAGGUACAAAAGAAAAUUUGUAUUAACUCACUGAAGCAUGAUUCACAAUAUUUUCAGGAAAUUUGAUGCGAAUUUCUAUUUACUGUGGCAGAGACAUAUCAGGUUCUCAAAACCAUUAUUGUUGCAAAUUUUACCAAUGUGUAUCAACUAUUAAGUAUAUGUUAUGAGUAACUUUUGUUGCUUUUUAUUAAGCUUCGAUGGGAUGUGGAUAUGCCUAUAUAGUUUGAAUAGUUGUUUGGACUUGUUGGUCACUGAAGCGAAGAACCAUGGUUGGUGGACGUGGACCUGCUGAAUAAUAUGUAGCAGCUGUGCUGACGUUUCUAGUAAUAUCCAUUCGAGUCAUUACAAACUGCUAAUUAGUCACCAAUUUGUAACUAGAGAACGAAUAGUUCAGCAAACAUAUGUCCAAUGUACAUGUACUUACAUUUUGAACUGGGUAGCAGUGAAAAAAUUUAUGUUUUUUCUUCGAGCAUGUUGCUGUUUUGACUCAUCUUAAAUGACGAACCAACCAAUUUCAGAAAUAUAGGAAAAGAAGGCUAAUAGAAAAAAGAUUUAUUUUUUUGUGAGGAACGAUAGCACACUGCACUUUUGGCAUUAUACUGCAGUUUUGGGAGCAUAUUGGAAAAGAAAACAACCAACCACUUUAAACAACCAAUCACUUUCAGUAGAGAGCAACGUGUGGAUUUGUUUGAAGUUUACUGACUCAGAUAAACACCACCGUGUGGACCAUAGAGCCAUCAAAUAAAGAUUCACUGAAGGAAUUGCACAAUAUAUAUAUUUGAUGGUAAACAGAAAAAGGAAAAGUCGACAGUGAGAAAGGGUUCGAAAGCUGAAAAUGGCACAUAACUUCUAAUUCACAUAAGAUCAAUUUAGAGAUGCUAGUGCCAUC